GCGGUCGCGCGUGUCGUUGGUGAAAUCUCCCUGCUCAACGGGGAGGGGUCCAACGAAACUGCGCGGCUGGAGGGCCGGAGAGGGAGGCGGAACUUCCGGAGUAGCGGUGAAAUGCGUAGAUACCGGAAGGUACCUCAAUAGCGAAGGCAGCCUCCUGGCCGGUUCCUGACGCUGAGGCACGAAAGCGUGGGGAGCAAACCGGAUUAGAUACCCGGGUAGUCCACGCCCUAAACGAUGCCGACUAGGUGUUGCUGAAUGCUGGGCCAGUGCCGCAGCUCACGCGGUAAGUCAGCCGCCUGGGGAGUACGGCCGCAAGGUUGAAACUCAAGGGAAUUGACGGGAGCCCGCACAAGCGGUGGAGCACGUGGUUCAAUUCGAUGGUAAGCGAAGAACCUUACCAGGGCUUGACAUGCCCGUGUAGGACCCCGAAAGGGGAACGAGGGGAAAUCGCAGCGGGCACAGGUGCUGCAUGGCUGUCGUCAGCUCGUGCCGUGGGGCGUCGGGUUAAGUCCCAUAACGAGCGCAACCCCUACCCCUAGUUGCCACCAGGUCCCUGGGCACUCUAGGGGAACUGCCGGUGAAUAGCCGGAGGAAGGAGGGGAUGACGUCAAGUCAGCAUGGCCCUUAUGCCCUGGGCGACACACGUGCUACAAUGGGCGGUACAAAGGGUCGCGAACCCGCAAGGGGGAGCCAAUCCCAAAAAACCGCCCUCAGUUCGGAUUGAGGUCUGCAACCCGACCUCAUGAAGCC
RNAcentral lists this ribosomal RNA (750 nucleotides) under uncultured bacterium. RNAcentral's name for it is "bacterial SSU rRNA". It matches the Rfam family "Bacterial small subunit ribosomal RNA", at positions 575 to 1327 of the family's 1533-position model. The record is from RNAcentral.